GAAAUGCGAUAAGUAAUGUGAAUUGCAGAAUUCAGUGAAUCAUCGAAUCUUUGAACGCACAUUGCGCCCGCUGGUAUUCCAGCGGGCAUGCCUGUUCGAGCGUCAUUUCAACCCUCAAAACUUCGGUUUUGGUGUUGGAGGACUACGCUGUAAAACGCGUAGCCUCCCAAAUUCAGUGGCGGGCUCGCUAGAAUUUUGAGCGUAGUAAUCUAUACCUCGUUUGUAAAGACUAGUGAUGUUUCUUGCCGUAAAAUCCCCAACUUUCUGAAAAUUGACCUCGGAUCAGGUAGGAAUACCCGCUGAACUUAA
RNAcentral lists this unclassified non-coding RNA (309 nucleotides) under uncultured Gnomoniaceae. RNAcentral describes it as "sequence contains ITS1". The stretch from base 1 to 105 matches the Rfam family "5.8S ribosomal RNA", at positions 50 to 154 of the family's 154-position model. The record is from RNAcentral. Lineage: Eukaryota; Fungi; Ascomycota; Sordariomycetes; Diaporthales; Gnomoniaceae.